RNAcentral lists this long non-coding RNA (1140 nucleotides) under Oreochromis niloticus (Nile tilapia). Its description in RNAcentral is "lncRNA (ENSONIG00000037393.1)". Lineage: Eukaryota; Metazoa; Chordata; Actinopteri; Cichliformes; Cichlidae. The record is from RNAcentral.
ACCAUGCUAAGACAUGUCAAAUGUUCAGCUAAUAGCUCUUUGGGAAUCAAAAUGAAGCGGCAGUUUGCCGAUUUCCUCCUGGUGACUUUCAUGUUAAUCAGCCUAGUACUUUAGAGACUUUCUCCCUGCUGAAGACAAUUAACGAGAGGUUAUUCAUGUUUAUGCUCUAGUUCCCUUUUUUUUCUUUGUCUUCUUUUGUUUGUUUAUUUUUGUCCUAGAUGGCCUGACUCAGCAGGUAGUGGUGAACUCUGGGGCAAACUUUCUGAGUUUGCCUUUGCUCAAGCAAUACAGAAAUGGCUCAGAUACGCUCCAGAUCGUAUGGGUGGCGCAGGACGACCAACAUCCAUCCCCAUCCCAGAGUAACUUACAAACAGUGAUGUGAAACAAAGACAUGUAACAAGGAAACUUUUUCGUGUAAUAAAUUAUUUUGCAAUUGAUGCAAACUAUUGUCUUUUUUUUUGUAAUUUGACUUACAUGGGGUCCGAUGCUUUAUAUUUUCGGGAUAUUAUUAUGGACAUGACCCAGAUAGCAAGACGACAUUGAAUCUAUGUUGAUUUUUCAUCCGAACCGUCGUAUAUGGUCGGGGUUGAAAUGCCAAUGUUGUAACAACAUUGAAAUACUGUGGUAAACCAACGGUCUUACUAUAGAGACGUUGUAACGAUGUUGAUUCACCGUUGUUUUUUUGUCAUUGAUAUUUGAUCUAUUUAUAGUCGACCAGGUGACAACAACAACGUCGAGAAAACGUCUAUUUAUAGUUGACGAUCAUUCGGCUCCGGUCACCAUCAAAAACCAUCGAUUUGUAGUUGAGCAUUAAAUUGCAUUGCAACUGAUCGGUAGAGCGGGACAUUUGAUUUACUCUCAGCGGAAUUGACCGGAGGAGGCAUCAGGUCAUGCACUGCACUGGCCUGCACCACGAUUAGUAUAAGGCACAUUUCACGGGAACGCAGUCUUCAGAGAUCUCUACGUGAACGCUGUGAUCUGACCUUCAGUCCGAAGAAGAAACCCAGACCAGUCUUAAAAGAAAGCACAAGUAAAACCUUUUUAUUCACAAACAUAUCUUUGAUUGUUAAGAAUUUGUGAUCUUGUCUUUUAUACAUAUCUGUGGUGCUUAUCACCACAUAAUAUAGUCCAAAAAGUGGA